Molecule: ribosomal RNA, 1298 nt
Filed under: Mycolicibacterium austroafricanum
Lineage: Bacteria; Bacillati; Actinomycetota; Actinomycetes; Mycobacteriales; Mycobacteriaceae
Description: bacterial SSU rRNA
Rfam family: Bacterial small subunit ribosomal RNA
Source: RNAcentral
AGUCGAACGGAAAGGCCCUUCGGGGUACUCGAGUGGCGAACGGGUGAGUAACACGUGGGUGAUCUGCCCUGCACUUUGGGAUAAGCCUGGGAAACUGGGUCUAAUACCGAAUACACCCUUCUGGCUGCAUGGUCUGGUUGGGGAAAGCUUUUGCGGUGUGGGAUGGGCCCGCGGCCUAUCAGCUUGUUGGUGAGGUUACGGCUCACCAAGGCGACGACGGGUAGCCGGCCUGAGAGGGUGACCGGCCACACUGGGACUGAGAUACGGCCCAGACUCCUACGGGAGGCAGCAGUGGGGAAUAUUGCACAAUGGGCGCAAGCCUGAUGCAGCGACGCCGCGUGAGGGAUGACGGCCUUCGGGUUGUAAACCUCUUUCGCCAGGGACGAAGCGCAAGUGACGGUACCUGGAGAAGAAGGACCGGCCAACUACGUGCCAGCAGCCGCGGUAAUACGUAGGGUCCGAGCGUUGUCCGGAAUUACUGGGCGUAAAGAGCUCGUAGGUGGUUUGUCGCGUUGUUCGUGAAAACUCACAGCUCAACUGUGGGCGUGCGGGCGAUACGGGCAGACUGGAGUACUGCAGGGGAGACUGGAAUUCCUGGUGUAGCGGUGGAAUGCGCAGAUAUCAGGAGGAACACCGGUGGCGAAGGCGGGUCUCUGGGCAGUAACUGACGCUGAGGAGCGAAAGCGUGGGGAGCGAACAGGAUUAGAUACCCUGGUAGUCCACGCCGUAAACGGUGGGUACUAGGUGUGGGUUUCCUUCCUUGGGAUCCGUGCCGUAGCUAACGCAUUAAGUACCCCGCCUGGGGAGUACGGCCGCAAGGCUAAAACUCAAAGAAAUUGACGGGGGCCCGCACAAGCGGCGGAGCAUGUGGAUUAAUUCGAUGCAACGCGAAGAACCUUACCUGGGUUUGACAUGCACAGGACGUGCCUAGAGAUAGGUAUUCCCUUGUGGCCUGUGUGCAGGUGGUGCAUGGCUGUCGUCAGCUCGUGUCGUGAGAUGUUGGGUUAAGUCCCGCAACGAGCGCAACCCUUAUCUUAUGUUGCCAGCGCGUAAUGGCGGGGACUCGUGAGAGACUGCCGGGGUCAACUCGGAGGAAGGUGGGGAUGACGUCAAGUCAUCAUGCCCCUUAUGUCCAGGGCUUCACACAUGCUACAAUGGCCGGUACAAAGGGCUGCGAUGCCGUGAGGUGGAGCGAAUCCUUUCAAAGCCGGUCUCAGUUCGGAUCGGGGUCUGCAACUCGACCCCGUGAAGUCGGAGUCGCUAGUAAUCGCAGAUCAGCAACGCUGCGGUGAAUACGU